ACCCGCUGAACUUAAGCAUAUCAAUAAGCGGAGGAAAAGAAACUAACAAGGAUUCCCCUAGUAACUGCGAGUGAAGCGGGAAAAGCUCAAAUUUAAAAUCUGUCAGUCUUUGGCUGUCCGAGUUGUAAUCUAGAGAAGUGUUAUCCGCGCUGGACCGUGUACAAGUCUCCUGGAAUGGAGCGUCAUAGAGGGUGAGAAUCCCGUCUUUGACACGGACUGCCAGGGCUUUGUGAUGCACUCUCAAAGAGUCGAGUUGUUUGGGAAUGCAGCUCAAAAUGGGUGGUAAAUUCCAUCUAAAGCUAAAUAUUGGCGAGAGACCGAUAGCGAACAAGUACCGUGAGGGAAAGAUGAAAAGAACUUUGGAAAGAGAGUUAAACAGUACGUGAAAUUGCUGAAAGGGAAACGCUUGAAGUCAGUCGCGUUGUCCAGGGAUCAACCUUGCUUUUGCUUGGUGUACUUUCUGGUUGACGGGUCAGCAUCAAUUUCGACUAUUGGAAAAAGAUUGGGGGAAUGUGGCAUCUUCGGAUGUGUUAUAGCCCUUGGUUGCAUACAAUGGUUGGGAUUGAGGAACUCAGCACGCCGCAAGGCCGGGUUUUUAACCACGUACGUGCUUAGGAUGCUGGCAUAAUGGCUUUAAUCGACCCGUCUUGAAACACGGACCAAGGAGUCUAACAUGCCUGCGAGUGUUUGGGUGGAAAACCCGAGCGCGUAAUGAAAGUGAAAGUUGAGAUCCUUGUCAUGGGGAGCAUCGACGCCCGGACCAGACCUUUUGUGACGGUUCCGCGGUAGAGCAUGUAUGUUGGGACCCGAAAGAUGGUGAACUAUGCCUGAAUAGGGUGAAGCCAGAGGAAACUCUGGUGGAGGCUCGUAGCGAUUCUGACGUGCAAAUCGAUCGUCAAAUUUGGGUAUAGGGGCGAAAGACUAAUCGAACCAUCUAGUA
Molecule: ribosomal RNA, 940 nt
Filed under: Cortinarius sp.
Lineage: Eukaryota; Fungi; Basidiomycota; Agaricomycetes; Agaricales; Cortinariaceae
Description: eukaryotic LSU rRNA
Rfam family: Eukaryotic large subunit ribosomal RNA
Source: RNAcentral